CACUCAAACUUAAAGUAUAUAUUGCAUUGAUUACUAUACAUGAUAACCAAAUUUGGAAAAACCGCUGACAGUGAGUAAACAAACGUUCCAGAGAGGAGAAAACUUCACGCGUAAAAUCUACAGUGAAAUAAAGUAAUGGUGAAAGAUGUUCGGUUUUUCGGGACGUAAAGAUGAUAAAUCUAAGCAGCAGAAGAGAGGACAGGGCCGUAAAGGUGGAAAUUUGUCGCAGUUUGGCCUAAUGGAAGUGCCUGACAUGGACAACCUAACCAUUGGAGGAGAUGACGAUGAUGAUGAUGAUGGAGACUUGGAGGCAGAGCUACUUGCCCUCACAGGGGGGGGAGAAAGGAAACCCAAGAAAGG
This is a non-coding RNA of Penaeus vannamei (Pacific white shrimp), 360 nucleotides long. NCBI's taxonomy places the organism in Eukaryota, Metazoa, Arthropoda, Malacostraca, Decapoda, Penaeidae. The record is from RefSeq and is a predicted model, not a curated record.